Molecule: ribosomal RNA, 253 nt
Filed under: uncultured bacterium
Lineage: Bacteria
Description: partial 16S ribosomal RNA
Rfam family: Bacterial small subunit ribosomal RNA
Source: RNAcentral
CACGUAGGGGGCAAGCGUUGUCCGGAUUUAUUGGGCGUAAAGAGCUCGUAGGCGGUCUGUCGCGUCGGGAGUGAAAACUCAGGGCUUAACCCUGAGCCUGCUUCCGAUACGGGCAGACUAGAGGUAUGCAGGGGAGAACGGAAUUCCUGGUGUAGCGGUGAAAUGCGCAGAUAUCAGGAGGAACACCGGUGGCGAAGGCGGUUCUCUGGGCAUUACCUGACGCUGAGGAGCGAAAGUGUGGGGAGCGAACAGG